UCGGGAAUAUUGCGCAAUGGAGGAAACUCUGACGCAGUGACGCCGCGUAUAGGAAGAAGGUUUUCGGAUUGUAAACUAUUGUCGUUAGGGAAGAUACAAGACAGUACCUAAGGAGGAAGCUCCGGCUAACUACGUGCCAGCAGCCGCGGUAAUACGUAGGGAGCAAGCGUUAUCCGGAGUUAUUGGGUGUAAAGGGUGCGUAGACGGGACAACAAGUUAGUUGUGAAAUCCCUCGGCUUAACUGAGGAACUGCAACUAAAACUAUUGUUCUUGAGUGUUGGAGAGGAAAGUGGAAUUCCUAGUGUAGCGGUGAAAUGCGUAGAUAUGAGGAGGAACACCGGUGGCGAAGGCGACUUUCUGGACAAUAACUGACGGUGAGGCACGAAAGUGUGGGGAGCAAACA
Molecule: ribosomal RNA, 403 nt
Filed under: uncultured prokaryote
Description: bacterial SSU rRNA
Rfam family: Bacterial small subunit ribosomal RNA
Source: RNAcentral